RNAcentral lists this ribosomal RNA (271 nucleotides) under uncultured bacterium. Its description in RNAcentral is "partial 16S ribosomal RNA". It matches the Rfam family "Bacterial small subunit ribosomal RNA", at positions 524 to 794 of the family's 1533-position model. The record is from RNAcentral.
UACGGAGGGUGCAAGCGUUAAUCGGAAUUACUGGGCGUAAAGCGCACGUAGGCGGUUCGUUAAGUCGGAUGUGAAAUCCCCGGGCUCAACCUGGGACCUGCAUUCGAUACUGGCGAACUUGAGUAUGAUAGAGGGGGGUGGAAUUCCAGGUGUAGCGGUGAAAUGCGUAGAUAUCAGGAGGAACACCAAUGGCGAAGGCAGGUCUCUGGGCCAUUACUGACACUGAGGAGCGAAAGCGUGGGGAGCGAACAGGAUUAGAAACCCUGGUAGU